GGGUAUCAUUACUAGAUGGUCACUUUGAUUGGUACAAAAAUUUAUUUCUGUACUACCGACUUAGGUUCAGACCUAUGAGAUCAUAUACAUUAGAGUUCAUGAUCUGAUCAGAUGGUUGAUCAACAAUUAAGAAUCAUUCUAGGGUUAAAUGAUCAAUACGAUUGACAUUUAACCUAGUGCAAGUGUUGCAGGAGGAUCGAUUAGU
This 205-nucleotide long non-coding RNA is filed under the name Elaeis guineensis (African oil palm). Its description in RNAcentral is "long non-coding RNA (EGUI_LNC073249)". The record is from RNAcentral. Lineage: Eukaryota; Viridiplantae; Streptophyta; Magnoliopsida; Arecales; Arecaceae.